UUUUUUUUUUUUUGGCUGUACUCGUGGCAUGGGGAAGUUCCUGGGCCAGGGAUCGAACCUGUGCCACUGUAGUAACCAGAGCCACUGCAGGGACAGCACCAGAUCCUUAACCCACUGAGCACAAGGGAACUCGUAGAUGUGUUUUACUACCAGAUUUUUUUUUCCUUUUUAGGUCCACACCGUGGCAUACGGAAGUUUCUGGGCUAGGGGUUGAAUAGGAGCUGUAAUCCUCAAGGAUCCUAACUAGUCAAGUUCAUUACCAAUGAGCCACAGGGGGAGCUCCUAUUACCAGAUAUUUAAACUGCCUUUAUCAGGCCUAUGACUAAUUACGUAGGACAAAAAUAGCCUUGCUGAACAAAGGGAAACAGGAUUUAUUAAUAUACACGAUGCUGUUCCCUCCUUACAAAGUCUGGCGGUUAAAUGAACCUUGACCUGGCUUUGCGUCCCAUUAGUAAUAAGCCGUGUGACUUGGCCAGAUUUUUAACUGUUUUGGGGUCUCAGUUUUCUUAUCCAUAAAAUGAGGGUAAUAAUAGUUCCUUUCUCCUAACCUGUGUAAAAUGAAAUCAUCUAUGUCCACAUAGUUUGCAUUGUGCCCGGCUUGUUGUAAUUGCUCAAUAAAAAAGUAAUGAUUUCCAUGGAUCUGUUUUUCCUUUUUCUGUCUCUUUAGGGCUGUACCUGAAGCAUGUGGAAGUUCCUGGGCUAGGGGGUCAAAUCAGAGCUGCAGCUGCUGGCCUAUGUCUCAGCCGCAGCAGCACGGGAUCCAAGCCUCGACCGCAACCUACACCACCGCUCAUGGCAAUGCAAGAUCCUUAACCCACUGAGCGGGAUCAGGGAUCGAACCUGCAUCCUCGUUCUUAAUCCACUGAGCCACAACGAAGACUCCCAUGACUAUGUUUUUCUAAUUGUGAUUUUUGACAAAUAAGAGGGCCCUGGCCCCAUCCCCUGCCUCCUUCCCUGAAGAGGGUAAGCAGGAGGGAGGGGGAGGAGGGAAGAAAUUGAACUUGAACUUGAGGCAGCCCACACAGGGAGACCCAGAGGGACAGGGGUUGUGUCAAGGUAUGAGGACUGCAUCUCAUUCGUCUGUGUCCCCAGGAGACACCUGCCCUCCGCCCUGGACAGAGUGCCUCACCCUGACAGGCCGAGCCACCAGGGACCCACCGGCUCCCUUCCCUGCACAGGCGAGCCCACCUUGCUGCACAUGCAGCAGAGCCACUCUGGAGCUUCUUUGGAGGAAGGGAGUGGGUGCUGGGUGAGUCUAGAUCUUUCUGGUCCCAGAUGAGUUCCUUCCUGGGAAAGUCACUUACCCUCUGGGCCUCAUCAAACUCCUCUGUGACACAGUUGUUGGAUCAGAUCAGAAAUCCUGAACUCGGAGGCCUCCAGGGGCCCGGCAGGCAGUGCGAGGGAGGGGGCGAUGCUUGGGGAGGGGGACUGUGGCCAGUUAAGGCCCCCGUGCCUUGUCCAAAGGGGCAGGUGGAACUGGAGCUCUAACCAACUCUUGCCAUGUGAGACAUCCUCUUUUAUUAUCUAUUUAUUUAUGAAAGAGAAAUGAGAAAUUUCAUUAUUAUUUUGCCCGUGCCCGCGGAAUGCGGAAGUGCCCAGGCCAGGGAUCAUACCCAUGCCCACAGCAGCAACCCGGUGCCCCAGUGGUGACAAAGAGAGAUCAUUCACUGCUAGGCCACUUUUUAAAUUUUUUUUAACUUAAAUUGUUUCAUUUUUAAAGGUUUUACUGAAGUAUAGUUGUUUACAAACUCCAUGUUUCUUAAACAUUGGCAAUAAAUUCAAUUGGGAAAAAAAAAACAACAACCCUCUACAAGGCUUGGCAAGGCCCAGGAGCUGCCCGCGAGAGCCCUCUGGGUUAGCUGGGUUUUCCGUUCCCUCCUGUUCUCCGUCCCAUUCGCCGACUGUUUGGUGGGUCUGUGGUUCCUGCGGGUGGGGGGCAGGUGGAUUCAGGAUGAAACUCCAGAGACGGUGAUUUCUGCCUCCUGUCCUUGGGCAUCUUCCCGUGCUGUCCUGUUGUUACUCCACAUUCCCAGGAGGCCACAGGCUGCUCCCCAUGAACCUUCCGCGUGCUGAGCGCUAAGGGUCCAGUGUCAGCUUGUGCUGCUGUCGUCAUAGUACCCAGGUGAGGUCCUCAGGGAUGGAGCAUCUUGGUCCAGCCCUGAAGGAGUUUAGAGCUGGGCCAAGUUUUGUUUUUUGUUUUUUGUUUUUCCUUUUACAGCCACACCUGUGACAUAUGGAAGUUCCCAGGCUAGGGGUUGAAUCGGAGCUGCAGUUGCCAGUCUACACCACAGCCAUGGCAAUGCUGGAUCUGAGCGGCUUCUGCUACCUACAAUGCAGCUUAUGGCAAUGCCAGGUCCUUAACCCACUGAGCGAGGCCAGGAAUCGAACCCACAUCCCCAUGGAUACUAGUUGGGAUCUUAACCCACUGAGCCACAGUGGGAACUCCCAAGGCCGGGCCAGGUCACAUGGAGACAAGAGCCCGGUGGGUUUUUUAACAAAAAAAGAAAAGAAAAUCUGGCUGCUCCUGAGAGUCGGGAGGACAAGGGCUGACUUAUCUCUUGACGCAACCUCCGAAGCACCUAGCACACACUGGCCCGUGGCAGGAGAGAGUCACAGUGACCAGAGUCCCUCCAGGGACAGAGGCAGGACUUGAAGCUGGGAAGGCUGAGCCCAGAUUUCUGAGCUGGCGGGACAAGACUGAAUGAAAGCAGAUCAGGAUCAAAGAGGGUGGGAUGCGCCUGAGAGUUUGCCUUGACUGUCAAUUCGAUUUUUUUUAGAGAAAUUUUUUUUUUUUUUUGGCUUUUUAGGGCCGCACCUGUGGCAUAUGGAGGUUCCCAGGCUAGGGGUCUAAUCGGACUACAGCUGCCAGCCUACAUCACAGCCACAGCCACAUCAGAUGCAAGCCACAUCUGCCACCUGCACCACAGUUCGUGGCAACGCUGGGUCCUUAACCCACUGAGCGAGGCCAGGGAUCAAACCCGCAUCCUCAUAGAGACAAUGUCAGGUCCUUAACCCACUGAGCCACACAGGGAACUUCUUUAACCAUUUUUAAGUGUAUCUUUUGGUGGCAUUAAGUCCAUUCACGUUAUGGGGCAACCAUCACCACCAUCCAUUUCCAGAAUAUUUUUAUCAUCACAAACUGGUAACCUGGUACGCAUCGAAUAAUAUACCAAUGAGAUUGGAUGGCAUCAUGGCUGGGUCAGUGUCGGGGGUCUGGCCAGGUGAAAUGGGCUUCUGUGGGAGGUGGUGGGUGUCCCAUCACUGGAGGUGAGCAAGCCACAACUGGGUGUCAGAGACAGGGAUUGGCUGGAUGGCAGGAGCCUAUAACGCCGUACUCAUUUU
RNAcentral lists this long non-coding RNA (3342 nucleotides) under Sus scrofa (pig). Its description in RNAcentral is "lncRNA (ENSSSCG00050063082.1)". The record is from RNAcentral. Lineage: Eukaryota; Metazoa; Chordata; Mammalia; Artiodactyla; Suidae.